AUUUAAAUAGUUUAAAAAAAAUAAUGAUUUGUGGUGUCAUAGUUGUGAGUGUUACUUUAGAUA
This 63-nucleotide transfer RNA is filed under the name Prionoglaris stygia. RNAcentral's name for it is "tRNA-His". Lineage: Eukaryota; Metazoa; Arthropoda; Insecta; Psocodea; Prionoglarididae. The record is from RNAcentral.